RNAcentral lists this ribosomal RNA (477 nucleotides) under uncultured bacterium. RNAcentral describes it as "partial 16S ribosomal RNA". It matches the Rfam family "Bacterial small subunit ribosomal RNA", at positions 30 to 507 of the family's 1533-position model. The record is from RNAcentral.
AUUGAACGCUGGCGGCAUGCCUUACACAUGCAAGUCGAACGGUAACAGGUUAAGCUGACGAGUGGCGAACGGGUGAGUAAUACAUCGGAACGUGCCCAGUAGUGGGGGAUAGCCCGGCGAAAGCCGGAUUAAUACCGCAUACGACCUAAGGGUGAAAGGGGGGGAUCGCAAGACCUCUCGCUAUUGGAGCGGCCGAUGUCAGAUUAGCUAGUUGGUGGGGUAAAAGCUCACCAAGGCGACGAUCUGCAGCUGGUCUGAGAGGACGACCAGCCACACUGGGACUGAGACACGGCCCAGACUCCUACGGGAGGCAGCAGUGGGGAAUUUUGGACAAUGGGCGCAAGCCUGAUCCAGCCAUGCCGCGUGCGGGAAGAAGGCCUUCGGGUUGUAAACCGCUUUUGUCAGGGAAGAAAUCCUUUGGGUUAAUACCUCGGGGGGAUGACGGUACCUGAAGAAUAAGCACCGGCUAACUACGUG